GGUUAAGUUAGAAAGGGCGCACGGUGGAUGCCUUGACACUAGGAGUCGAUGAAGGACGGGACUAACGCCGAUAUGCUUCGGGGAGCUGUAAGUAAGCUUUGAUCCGAAGAUUUCCGAAUGGGGAAACCCACCAUACGUAAUGGUAUGGUAUCCUUAUCUGAAUACAUAGGAUAAGGAAGACAGACCCAGGGAACUGAAACAUCUAAGUACCUGGAGGAAGAGAAAGCAAAUGCGAUUUCCUGAGUAGCGGCGAGCGAAACGGAACAUAGCCCAAACCAAGAGGCUUGCCUCUUGGGGUUGUAGGACAUUCUAUACGGAGUUACAAAGGAACGAGGUAGACGAAGCGACCUGGAAAGGUCCGUCGUAGAGGGUAACAACCCCGUAGUCGAAACUUCGUUCUCUCUUGAAUGUAUCCUGAGUACGGCGGAACACGUGAAAUUCCGUCGGAAUCUGGGAGGACCAUCUCCCAAGGCUAAAUACUCCCUAGUGAUCGAUAGUGAACCAGUACCGUGAGGGAAAGGUGAAAAGCACCCCGGAAGGGGAGUGAAAGAGAUCCUGAAACCGUGUGCCUACAAAUAGUCAGAGCCCGUUAAUGGGUGAUGGCGUGCCUUUUGUAGAAUGAACCGGCGAGUUACGAUCCCGUGCGAGGUUAAGCUGAAGAGGCGGAGCCGCAGCGAAAGCGAGUCUGAAUAGGGCGUUUAGUACGUGGUCGUAGACCCGAAACCAGGUGAUCUACCCAUGUCCAGGGUGAAGUUCAGGUAACACUGAAUGGAGGCCCGAACCCACGCACGUUGAAAAGUGCGGGGAUGAGGUGUGGGUAGCGGAGAAAUUCCAAUCGAACCUGGAGAUAGCUGGUUCUCCCCGAAAUAGCUUUAGGGCUAGCCUUAAGUGUAAGAGUCUUGGAGGUAGAGCACUGAUUGGACUAGGGGUCCUCAUCGGAUUACCGAAUUCAGUCAAACUCCGAAUGCCAAUGACUUAUCCUUAGG
Molecule: ribosomal RNA, 986 nt
Filed under: Francisella tularensis subsp. holarctica
Lineage: Bacteria; Pseudomonadati; Pseudomonadota; Gammaproteobacteria; Thiotrichales; Francisellaceae
Description: partial 23S ribosomal RNA
Rfam family: Bacterial large subunit ribosomal RNA
Source: RNAcentral